GUGUUAUACAGCGAAACUGCGAAUGGCUCAUUAAAACAGUUAUAGUUUAUUUGAUAAUCGAAUUUACAUGGAUAACCGUGGUAAUUCUAGAGCUAAUACAUGCUGGUGUGCCCGACUUUUGCGGAAGGGCGGUAUUUAUUAGAUAACAAGCCAAUAUUCCUCUGGUCUAUUGUGGUGACUCAUAAUAACUGAUCGAAUCGCAAGGCCUUUGGCCGCGAUAAGUCAUUCAAGUUUCUGCCCCAUCAGCUUUCGAUGGUAGUGUAUUGGACUACCAUGGCGUUUACGGGUAACGGAGGAUUAGGGUUCGAUUCCGGAGAGGGAGCCUGAGAAACGGCUACCACAUCUAAGGAAGGCAGCAGGCGCGUAAAUUACCCAAUCCUGACUCAGGGAGGUAGUGACAAGAAAUAACGGACCGAGGCCUUCGGGCUUCGGGAUUGGAAUGAGCCGAAUUUACACCCCUUAGCGAAGAUCGAUUGGAGGGCAAGUCUGGUGCCAGCAGCCGCGGUAAUUCCAGCUCCAAUAGCGUAUAUUAAAGUUGUUGCAGUUAAAAAGCUCGUAGUUGGAUUUCUGGGAGGGUGCCGAUGUCCACUUAACGUGUGCGCAGCGGCGCCCUCUCAUCCUUCUGUUAGCGUCUCUUGGCAUUCAUUUGCUGGUGGCGGGCUCAGAUAUUUUACCUUGAGAAAAUUAGAGUGUUUCAGGCAGGCUAGGCCGGAAUACAUUAGCAUGGAAUAAUGGAAUAGGACUACGGUCUCUUUGUUGGUUUGAGGGACUGCAGUAAUGAUUAAUAGGGAUAGUUGGGGGCAUUAGUACUUAACUGUCAG
This 821-nucleotide ribosomal RNA is filed under the name uncultured eukaryote. Its description in RNAcentral is "SSU rRNA". It matches the Rfam family "Eukaryotic small subunit ribosomal RNA", at positions 71 to 908 of the family's 1831-position model. The record is from RNAcentral.